AAUGUGGAGGCUAUAUACAGGGGGUACCGGUACCGAGUCAAUGUGGAGGCUAUAUACUUAGUCAAUGUGGAGGCUAUAUACUUAGUCAAUGUGGAGGCUAUAUACAGGGGGUACCGGUACCGUGUCAAUGUGGAGGCUAUAUGCAGGGGCUACCGGUACCGAGUCAAUGUGGAGGCUAUAUACAGGGGGUACCGGUACAGAGUCAAUGUGGAGGCUAUAUACAGGGGGUACCGGUACAGAGUCAAUGUGGAGGCUAUAUGCAGGGGGUACCGGUACAGAGUCAAUGGGGAGGCUAUAUACAGGGGGUACCGGUACAGAGUCAAUAUGGAGGCUAUAUACAGG
Long non-coding RNA from Oncorhynchus tshawytscha (Chinook salmon), 342 nucleotides. The record is from Ensembl. NCBI's taxonomy places the organism in Eukaryota, Metazoa, Chordata, Actinopteri, Salmoniformes, Salmonidae.